RNAcentral lists this ribosomal RNA (479 nucleotides) under uncultured bacterium. RNAcentral's name for it is "partial 16S ribosomal RNA". It matches the Rfam family "Bacterial small subunit ribosomal RNA", at positions 28 to 507 of the family's 1533-position model. The record is from RNAcentral.
GACGAACGCUGGCGGCGCGCUUAACACAUGCAAGUCGAGCGAUGAAAUUUCGACAGAUCCCUUCGGGGUGAAGAUGAAAUGGAUUAGCGGCGGACGGGCGAGUAACACGUGAGUAACCUGCCUUUGACAUUGGGAUAGCCUCGGGAAACUGGGAUUAAUACCAAAUGACACUAACUGAUCACAUGAUCAAUUAGUCAAAGAAAUUCGGUCAAAGAUGGACUCGCGGCUGAUUAGCUAGUUGGUGAGGUAACGGCCCACCAAGGCGACGAUCAGUAGCCGGCCUGAGAGGGUGAUCGGCCACAUUGGAACUGAGACACGGUCCAAACUCCUACGGGAGGCAGCAGUGGGGAAUAUUGCACAAUGGGGGAAACCCUGAUGCAGCGACGCCGCGUGAGCGAAGAAGGCCUUCGGGUCGUAAAGCUCUUUUAUGAGGGAAGAUAAUGACGGUACCUCAAGAAAAAGCCCCGGCUAACUACGUG